CAAGGAAUUUUCGUCAAUGGGCGCAAGCCUGAACGAGCAACGCCGCGUGGAGGAUGACGGCCUUCGGGUUGUAAACUCCUUUUUCGGGGGACGAUAAUGACGGUACCCCGGGAAUAAGGCUCGGCUAACUCUGUGCUAGCAGCCGCGGUAAUACAGAGGAGCCAAGCGUUGUCCGGAUUGACUGGGCGUAAAGCGCACGCAGGCGGACGCGCGCGUGGGGUGUGAAAUCUGGCGGCUUAACGGCCAGGCGCUAUCCCAUACGGCGCGGCUGGAGUGAUGCAGAGGUCGAAGGAAUUGCCGGUGUAGUGGUGAAAUGCGUAGAGAUCGGCAGGAACACCCAGGGGGAAACCAGUCGACUGGGCAUCUACUGACGCUGAGGUGCGAGAGCGUGGGGAGCGAACCGG
RNAcentral lists this ribosomal RNA (404 nucleotides) under Bacillota bacterium. RNAcentral describes it as "Firmicutes bacterium partial 16S ribosomal RNA". It matches the Rfam family "Bacterial small subunit ribosomal RNA", at positions 355 to 776 of the family's 1533-position model. Lineage: Bacteria; Bacillati; Bacillota. The record is from RNAcentral.